UACAGAGGGGGCAAGCGUUGUUCGGAAUUACUGGGCGUAAAGGGUGCGUAGGCGGCGCGGUAAGUCGGGUGUGAAAUCUUGGAGCUUAACUCCGAAACUGCAUUCGAUACUGCCGUGCUUGAGGACUGGAGAGGAGACUGGAAUUUACGGUGUAGCGGUGAAAUGCGUAGAUAUCGUAAGGAAGACCAGUGGCGAAGGCGGGUCUCUGGACAGUUCCUGACGCCGAGGCACGAAGGCCAGGGGAGCAAACGGG
Molecule: ribosomal RNA, 253 nt
Filed under: uncultured bacterium
Lineage: Bacteria
Description: partial 16S ribosomal RNA
Rfam family: Bacterial small subunit ribosomal RNA
Source: RNAcentral